RNAcentral lists this ribosomal RNA (511 nucleotides) under uncultured bacterium. RNAcentral's name for it is "bacterial SSU rRNA". It matches the Rfam family "Bacterial small subunit ribosomal RNA", at positions 25 to 518 of the family's 1533-position model. The record is from RNAcentral.
CAGGACGAACGCUGGCGGCAUGCCUAAUACAUGCAAGUCGAGCGAAUGAUGAAGAAGCUUGCUUCUCUGAUUAGCGGCGGACGGGUGAGUAACACGUGGGCAACCUACCCUAUAGAUUGGGAUAACACAGGGAAACCUGUGCUAAUACCGAAUAAUACCUUUCUCUUCAUGGAGGAUGGUUGAAAGAUGGUUUCGGCUAUCACUAUAGGAUGGGCCCGCGGCGCAUUAGCUAGUUGGUGAGGUAAUGGCUCACCAAGGCAACGAUGCGUAGCCGACCUGAGAGGGUGAUCGGCCACACUGGGACUGAGACACGGCCCAGACUCCUACGGGAGGCAGCAGUAGGGAAUCUUCCACAAUGGGCGAAAGCCUGAUGGAGCAAUGCCCGCGUGAGUGAUGAAGGAUUUCGGUUCGUAAAACUCUGUUGUAAGGGAAGAACAAGUAGCGUAGUAACUGGCGUUACCUUGACGGUACCUUAUUAGAAAGCCGCGGCUAACUACGUGCCAGCCGCCGC